This 456-nucleotide long non-coding RNA is filed under the name Helianthus annuus (common sunflower). RNAcentral's name for it is "sRNA HanXRQr2_Chr13g0617391". Lineage: Eukaryota; Viridiplantae; Streptophyta; Magnoliopsida; Asterales; Asteraceae. The record is from RNAcentral.
UUGAAUCACCGGAAGCUUGUAGGCUUUACGUCAUGAUUACUCUAUGAAGGUGAUUAUUAGCACUUGUUUUGUUCUGAAGCAAACAUAUCUCAUGCAUUCACAUUUGUAAGAAUGUCAUGAUUACCUGGCUAUUCAAGAUGUUUAUGCCUAGAGAUUAGCAUAGCAGCACUCUGGAUUUUGGAAGGUUAUAUCGUUCCCCGUUGAUGCAGUGACAGAUACAUAUGGAACAUUUCUACCUGAUGGAACAGCUUUCCAGUUUCAGCAGAUUCUGAGCUUAAGUGUUUUAGAGGUGCCAAAAUGGGAUUCCCGAAUCACCUCUUGCGACACAAGCAGUCCAGGUGGUGACAGCAACGGUGCCGCAUCCGAAAGCCAGUACACCAAAGAAGAUGUUCUUACCAGAGCCUAGAAAAGACGCAAUAUCUUCAUGCAGCUUUAAAUGAACAGUUCCAAUGGUAU